AUGAAUGCUAAAUAUAAACUUGCUGAAGAUAAGGGUAGAAAACAUGUUGUGUUUGCACAUGGAGAUCUUGUUUGGUUACACUUGCGUAAGGAUAGAUUUCUUGAUUUGCGCAAAUCGAAGCUAAUGCCAUGUGCUAAUGGUCCUUUUAAGGUGUUAGAGAAAAUAAAUGAUAAUGCAUAUAAACUUGAGCUGCGUGAAGAUUUUGGGGUUAGUCCCACUUUUAACAUUGCGGAUUUGAAGCCUUACUUGGGUGAGGAAGAUGAGCUUCUGUCGAGGACGACUUCAUUUCAAGAAGGGGAGGAUGAUGAGGACAUCAAUACCAUUGUUACACCCACAGCCCCUGCUGCUAUACAUACUGGACCAAUUAGUAGAGCUCGCGCACGCCAGUUGAAUUAUCAGAUACUUUUGUUUCUUGGUAACGAUUCUAAUGUUCAUGAGAAUAUGAUGCUGCCUAAAUUGGAUACAUUUGUUUUGCUUACAAAUGAAGGGCCUAGCUUGGACAAGAAAGAUGAACCUUGGAGCAAGUUCAAGCAUGGGGAUGAUGGCAUGCGCCAGGGGAACAAGAAUGGAGUUUCAAGUGAUGAUUUCAGGAACUUGAAGCCACCAUAA
Molecule: ribosomal RNA, 609 nt
Filed under: Triticum aestivum (bread wheat)
Lineage: Eukaryota; Viridiplantae; Streptophyta; Magnoliopsida; Poales; Poaceae
Description: partial small subunit ribosomal RNA
Source: RNAcentral